This 479-nucleotide ribosomal RNA is filed under the name uncultured bacterium. Its description in RNAcentral is "bacterial SSU rRNA". It matches the Rfam family "Bacterial small subunit ribosomal RNA", at positions 110 to 580 of the family's 1533-position model. The record is from RNAcentral.
GAAUUACAUCGGAAUUUGCCCAGUCGUGGGGGAUAACGUAGGGAAACUUACGCUAAUACCGCAUACGACGGUGACGUGAAAGCGGGGGAUCAGCAAUGACUCGCGCGGAUGGAUAAGCCGAUGUCGGAUUAGCUAGUUGGCGGGGUAAGAGCCCACCAAGGCGACGAUCCGUAACUUGGUCUCGAGAGGAUGAUCAGCACACUGGGGACUGAGACACGGGCCCAGAAUCCUACGGGAGGCAAGCAGUGGGGAAUAUUGGACCAAUGGGGGCAACCUGAUCCAGCAAUGCCGCGUGUGUGAAGAAGGCCUUCGGGUUGUAAAGCACUUUUAUCCGGAACGAAACGCGCAGGGCGAAUACCCUUGCGAACUGACGGUACCGGAGGAAUAAGCACCGGCUAACUUCGUGCCAGCAGCCGCGGUAAUACGAAGGGUGCAAGCGUUACUCGGAAUUACUGGGCGUAAAGGGUGCGUAGUGGUUU